CUCGACCUGAGCUCAGACA
This 19-nucleotide ribosomal RNA is filed under the name Chloromonas muramotoi. Its description in RNAcentral is "partial large subunit of ribosomal RNA". The record is from RNAcentral. Lineage: Eukaryota; Viridiplantae; Chlorophyta; Chlorophyceae; Chlamydomonadales; Chlamydomonadaceae.